UCAGGAUGAACGCUGGCGGCGUGCUUAACACAUGCAAGUCGAACGAUGACCUCCAGCUUGCUGGGGUGAUUAGUGGCGAACGGGUGAGUAACACGUGAGUAACCUGCCCUUAACUCUGGGAUAAGCCUGGGAAACUGGGUCUAAUACCGGAUAUGACUCCUCAUCGCAUGGUGGGGGGUGGAAAGCUUUUUGUGGUUUUGGAUGGACUCGCGGCCUAUCAGCUUGUUGGUGAGGUAAUGGCUCACCAAGGCGACGACGGGUAGCCGGCCUGAGAGGGUGACCGGCCACACUGGGACUGAGACACGGCCCAGACUCCUACGGGAGGCAGCAGUGGGGAAUAUUGCACAAUGGGCGAAAGCCUGAUGCAGCGACGCCGCGUGAGGGAUGACGGCCUUCGGGUUGUAAACCUCUUUCAGUAGGGAAGAAGCGAAAGUGACGGUAC
This 442-nucleotide ribosomal RNA is filed under the name soil bacterium 9V-11. Its description in RNAcentral is "bacterial SSU rRNA". It matches the Rfam family "Bacterial small subunit ribosomal RNA", at positions 24 to 478 of the family's 1533-position model. The record is from RNAcentral.